This 253-nucleotide ribosomal RNA is filed under the name uncultured bacterium. RNAcentral describes it as "partial 16S ribosomal RNA". It matches the Rfam family "Bacterial small subunit ribosomal RNA", at positions 524 to 776 of the family's 1533-position model. The record is from RNAcentral.
UACGGAGGGUGCGAGCGUUGUUCGGAAUUACUGGGCGUAAAGGGCGUGCAGGCGGUUUGGUAAGUCAGAUGUGAAAGCCCUGGGCUCAACUCAGGAAGUGCAUUUGAAACUGCCAUUCUAGAGUAUGGGAGAGGAGAGUGGAAUUCCCAGUGUAGAGGUGAAAUUCGUAGAUAUUGGGAGGAACAUCCGUGGCGAAGGCGACUCUCUGGACCGAUACUGACGCUGAGACGCGAAAGCGUGGGGAGCAAACAGG